This 253-nucleotide ribosomal RNA is filed under the name uncultured bacterium. RNAcentral describes it as "partial 16S ribosomal RNA". It matches the Rfam family "Bacterial small subunit ribosomal RNA", at positions 524 to 776 of the family's 1533-position model. The record is from RNAcentral.
UACGUAGGGUGCGAGCGUUGUCCGGAAUUAUUGGGCGUAAAGAGCUCGUAGGUGGUUUGUCGCGUUGUUCGUGAAAACUCACAGCUUAACUGUGGGCGUGCGGGCGAUACGGGCAGACUGGAGUACUGCAGGGGAGACUGGAAUUCCUGGUGUAGCGGUGGAAUGCGCAGAUAUCAGGAGGAACACCGGUGGCGAAGGCGGGUCUCUGGGCAGUAACUGACGCUGAGGAGCGAAAGCGUGGGGAGCGAACAGG